RNAcentral lists this long non-coding RNA (546 nucleotides) under Homo sapiens (human). RNAcentral describes it as "novel transcript". Lineage: Eukaryota; Metazoa; Chordata; Mammalia; Primates; Hominidae. The record is from RNAcentral.
AUUAUUUAAGGAAUGUCCUUCCAGUCUGCAGGCAGAUAGGCUCUCCAAGGAGAUUUUGGCAGGGGUGAAAUGACUGGCAUUUUGACCUGAGCGAAAUUUCUGAAUUUCCGAGCUGUGAUAGACACUGGAGCUUCUGGCUCUUGGGACUCUAGCAGAACCCCACCUGCUCACCCGCAGGCCUCAGGCCUUCAGAUUAGGACUGAAUUCCACCACUGGCUUUCCGGGUUCUCCAGCUUGCAGAUGGCAGAUGAUGAGACUUCUCAGCCUCCAUAAUCAUGUGAGCCAAUUCCCAUAAUAAAUCUCUCUCUCUCUAUCUCUGUCUUACUCUCUCUUGAUUCUGUUUCUCUGAAGAACCCUAACUAAUACAGAUACCUUCAUUUUACAAAUGAAUAAAGUGCAGUGCCAGAGAAGUUCUGUGAAUUGUCUAGGGUCAUACACUCCUUCAUUUAUUUAAUUGUGCAUUAAGUCAACUAGUAUUCUAGGUACCAAGGAAGUCAACAUACUAGACCACAUUGCCUGUCUUCAAGAAAGUUAUGUUUUGGUUAG